GUGCCCGUAACUCAGUGGUAGAGUGUGAGAUUGCAAUUUCGUGGAUCUUGUGGCGUAAUCUCGAAGCCGCGUGUUCGAACCACGCCGGGCACU
Molecule: non-coding RNA, 93 nt
Organism: Paramarasmius palmivorus
Lineage: Eukaryota; Fungi; Basidiomycota; Agaricomycetes; Agaricales; Marasmiaceae
Source: the annotation of a GenBank genome assembly